ACAUUCCACCCAGCCUGACUGCUCUGGAAGGAAGAAUCCCUGCAAGGUGAGUGUUAUUAUAUCCAUUUGUGGACCAGGACUGCGGCUCAGAAGCUUUUCCCAGGACACUGAACUCUGACAGGUGAAUAGCUGCCAAGUGGUGGAGGUUGGCCUGCAGUGAGCAUCAGUCUGACUUCGAAGGACAGAAUGACACAUGGUACAAGCUUUCUGUCUUACUGCCACACGUCAGUGUCCUGGGAGAUGAACCAGAUGCAGAUGAUAAAAGUGCUGGCCAGGCGUGGUGGCUCAUGCCUGUAAUCCCAGCACUUUGGGAGGCCGAGGCGGGUGGAUUACCUGAGAUCAGGAGUUCAAGACCAGCCUGGCUAACAUGGCGAAACCCCGUCUCUGCUAAAAAUACAAAAAUUAGCUGGGUGUAGUGGCAUGCACCUGUAAUCCGAGCUAUCCAGGAGACUGAGACAGGAGAAUCGCUUGAACCUGGAGGCAGUAAGCCAAGAUCGCACCAUUGCAUUCCAGCCUAGGCGACAGAGCAAGACUCUGUCUCAAAAAAAAAAAAAAAAAAAAGUGCUCUGACGUUAUAUUAUGGUGUUGGUCGCACAACUUUGUGAAUAUAUGAGAAGUCAUGGAAUUGUAUACUUUCAAUGAAUAAAUUAUAAGGCAUACAAGUUAUAUCUCAAUAAAGCUGUUUGCUAAAUUUGGACGUCACUUUUUUUUUAAACAGCUUUGUUGAGGUAUAACUCUGGUGUUAUACGUUUAGUAUUUGUUUGUUCACCUCUAUCAUAAGCUAUAUAAGCUAUAUGUCUCUUAGGACUGGGAUCAUUUUUAUCAAUUGUUACACCUCCACUUCCUUGUAUAGUACUUUUUGCCCGAAUGUUAAUUUAAAAAUGUUUGUUGAAUGAUACAUUUUAGGCUAAAUGAAUACAGUUUGCAUCAGCAUUAGGGUAGACAUGUCACAUGUAGUCCACUAACCCUCCCCAAGUCUUUUAUGUGAGUUGUUGUUAAGCCAGGGCAAUUCUAUCCUGUACUUGGGCAGAAAUUUCUUGAAAAAAAUCAAAGUUAAGAGUUUACAUUUAUUUUAAAAUUUUUAUCAUGUUAGAACCCAUCAGUCAUUUUAGCCAGUUAAGUGUUUUUUUUUUUUUUUUUUUUUUUUGAGAUGGAGUCUUGCUGUUUUGCCCAGGCUGGAGUGCAGUAGUGCGAUCUUGGCUCACUGCAACAUCUGCCUCCCAGGUUCAAGUGGUUCUCCUGCCUUAGCCUCCCCAGUAGCUGGGGUGACAGGUAUGCACCAUGUUGCCCAAGUUUUUGCAUUAUUUAGUAGAGAUGGGGUUUCACCACAUUGCCCAGGCUGGUCUUGAACUCUUGACGUCAAGUGAUCUGCCCGCCUCGGCCUCCAAAGGUGCUGGGAUUACAGGCAUGAGCCACUGCGCCCAGCCAAGAUUUUCUUGGAUUUUUUUCUCUGUCAUUAAGUGUAGUCUCUAUUUCUACCUGCUUUGUACUACAAACCAAUUUAAAUAAGCAUGCUGUCUUUCUCCAUAAAAACAUUAAACUGUAGAACAAUGUUUUUAUGGAGAAAAAGAGCUAAAGUCACAUGCUGGUGGAGCAUAAAACGCUCACUUGAAGAACACCUUGGUAAUGGCUCCAGCUAACUGUACCAUGACCUAAUCCUGUGGCUGGAACCUCUGGGGAGUCUUAUCCACCUCCCCAAAUCCAUUUGACAAGCUCAGGUCCAAUACCACUUCUUUCAUGGGCUAUUCUCUGAUCUUCUCAGAAUGUCUAUCUUCUAUUGAAUUUGCCACAAUAUUUUGUUUGUACUACUCUUGAGACAUCCCACACAACCUUGAAUUAUAAUUGCUCACAUGGGUGUCUCAGCAUUUAUUCUAGACCAUAAGAUACUUAAAAGGAGGAAUUGUGAUUUCUUUGACAGUUUUGUCUCUUAGAAUUUAAGGGUGAGGGUGCUUAAUAAGUAUUAGAAAUAACGGAUAAGUAAAAUAUUCAGUGCUAUUAAAAAUACUAUUAAAUCUCAACACCUCCAGGGGUUACAUAUCUGAAAAAAGAUAUCAUACAUAUCUAUAUAAAUUCUAAAAUAAAUUGAAAUAGUCCAUAUCAAAAACCCUGCUGGAGUAGGUAACUCUUCACAAUCGACUUCAAUUAUUCAUGAUAUAAUUUUUGCAGGCACAUCAAAAAUUGUAUGUUUAGAGGUUAGAGGAUGAAUCCUCUUACAGUUUUCAAACCAGUCUGUACUAGCUUGAAAUGUAAUGUUUCUUGCACUUGAAUUUUCCCUGCUUUGUGUCUGCCAGUCUUGGCCCAAUGCUUGGGUACUUUUUUUAUGUUAUUGUGGUGCUUACAGGUGUUUUUCCAGCUGUGUUUUUCUAUCCUGAGGUUACAUCGGAGUAUGACAUGAUCAAACCUCUUCUUUGCACCAUGUCACAGAACCACCUUAAUGGAAGAGUGGACAAUAACUAUUGUGGUUUUCUCCUAUUUCAGGUGAUGGAAUGGAACCAUGUGUGUACAAAAAGAUACAGGAAUGUACAUAUUCAGUUUGCAAUAUAAAAACAUACACUGUGAUUGGAGAGGGAUUACAACAUUCUAAUUGCAAUUUUUGUCAUUUAUUCAAUAAAUAUUUCCUGGCUGGGUAUGAUGGCUCAAAGUGCCUGUAAUCCCAGCACUUUGGGAGGCCAAAGCAGGCAAAUCACCUGAGGUCAGGAGUUUGAGACCAGCCUGGCCACCAUGGUGAAACCCCAUCUCUACUAAAAAUACACAAAUUAGCUGGGUGUGGUGGUGCAUGCCUGUAAUCUCAGCUACCUGGGAGGCUGAGGCAGGAGAAUUGCUUGAACUCGGGAGGCGGAGGUUGCAGUGAGCUGAGAUUGCACCACUGCACCCCAGCCUGGGCAACAGAGUGAGACUCUGUCUCAAAACAAACAAACAAACAAACAAACAAAUUCCUGAGUGCCUACCAUAUGCUGAUUAAACUGUUCUAGAUGUUGGAGAUGCAGCUAUGGACAAGACAAAUACAGUCUCUUCUCUCCAGGAAUUUACCUUCUAAUGGAGGAGAGAGACAAAAACAACUUUGUACAUAAACCUUUUCUGAUAGUCAUUAAGAAAAUAAAGCAACAUGGUGUCCAAAUUCUAGAUUGCUCAUUUUAAAGGCUAGGGUGCCUAAAACCACAAGGAACAUUUCAGAAUUAGUAACAUUCAUACUUCGUAGAGCUAUACUUAGGCUAAUAAAUGUUUGGUAUUGUUGCCUCCCCAACAGCCACCUCAGACCACCUCCUGACUCCAAGUUUCCCUGCUCAUCAAUCCAAAAUUUUGUUGAAUAUACUACUUCCCCACCCCCAAUGGAGCUUAAGGGUUAACCUGAACUCUCUAAACCAAUCAGGGCAUUCCUACUGUCUUUGAUCGUGAGUGUUGUAGGCAGAGACAUAUAACCCAAUCCUUGCUAAUGAGACUUGAGGUAGGACCCCAGCUUCCGGAGAGGUUGCCUGGCUCCUAAAAAGAGAAAGAUACCGGAAAAGAGAUGGACUCUUCUACCACUGGAAAUCAGAUGGUGUCCUGAGUGACAUAAGUGUACUUACAACAGCCAUUUUGCAACCAUAAAGAAGCCAGUGGGAAUACACAGGCUACGUGUCCUCGAAGGCACAGAAGAAAGAAGAGAGAAAACUAUAUUCUUGAUGACACAGUUGAGCUACAGAAUUGUCCAACCCCGGAGGUGCCCCACUUCGCGUUGUGGGAGAUAAUGCAUUUUCCUUGCUGUUUAAACCACUUUGAGCUGAGUUUUCUAUUACCAGCAGCCUAAAGCAUUUUGACAGAUAAAAGUAGAUACAAAUGCACAUAUAUAAUGAGCAUCCUGACUGAACGAUUAAAUGUGUAUGUAGGCAUGCAUUACCUCCCCACUCCAUUUAUGAUUGUCACAUUUAUUUUUACUUCAGGGAAAAGCAACUAUAGAAUUUAAAAAAUCAGGAUUGAAAACAAAUACCUGAAUUUCCUACAAUUAAAAAAUCAAUCCAUUAAGUAGUGGUAUUAUGCUAAAAUAAAAUGAAUGCUUAGAAAUUUGUUAAGUGUUUAUGAUGUAAUAAGACAUCAAAUAAACCAUUUUUCUUUAAGUUCUUUAAUAAAAAAAAUCUGAUGUGGAGUCCAGUCUUUCAUUUUUAUCACUGGAAUAAAUAGAGAAUAGUCAUUGCAAUCAAUUGCCUGUUUGUUUCCCCAGAG
RNAcentral lists this long non-coding RNA (4200 nucleotides) under Homo sapiens (human). Its description in RNAcentral is "non-protein coding lnc-ZC3H12D-4:6". The record is from RNAcentral. Lineage: Eukaryota; Metazoa; Chordata; Mammalia; Primates; Hominidae.